CUGGAAACUUGUAUGCAAAUUGGAGACAUAUUCAAAAACUGUAUUCCAGGAUAUGUAUGUCGAGGAAGAAGAGGGGAACUCGACACCCACCCAGGCUUCUGCAGCGAGUUCUGCCAAAUCUGUGCUGACCUUCUUUGAGUGUUGUGUGCAUGUAGUGCUAUAGAUGCAAACUCACCUUUCAGUGACAACUCACUUUUUUGAGGUUGAAAUGGGUCACCUAUGAGAUUUGCAUGGAUCCAAUGAGAGUUGAUCUUACAAGGAUACUUGUGAUCUUACGAGGGUAAAUAAAGUACUGGAAAUAGUA
Cyprinus carpio (common carp) is the source of this 304-nucleotide long non-coding RNA. RefSeq lists it as uncharacterized. The transcript has 2 exons. The record is from RefSeq and is a predicted model, not a curated record. Lineage: Eukaryota; Metazoa; Chordata; Actinopteri; Cypriniformes; Cyprinidae.